This 422-nucleotide long non-coding RNA is filed under the name Mytilus galloprovincialis (Mediterranean mussel). Lineage: Eukaryota; Metazoa; Mollusca; Bivalvia; Mytilida; Mytilidae. The record is from RNAcentral.
CGUUUUUUCGCGAUUUUUUUUUUUUUUUUACAAAAUUUACAUAAAACGACAAUUUUGAAAACAGAAGUUCCAACUAAUGAUGCCAACCUCUCAUUUAAAGGUAAAGACAGUGUUUGCCAUCAAUUUGUUUUUAAAAAUCAUACAGUUUCUUCGUUUAUUACUUAAGUAAAGUUCGGCCCCACGAGAAAUCGUUAAAAUGUAUACAUUAUCAACUGAUUUACCAUAGACAGUAUGUGUAAAGUGAUAUUCAAAAAGCGGUAACAAUCUUAAAACUAAUCCGAAAGGUUCCAAAUUUACUGUGUAUUGUUUUCAUAUCUAAAGCAUUGAUUUGAGACGAAAAUAAAAAAAAAUUUUUUUGCAAUUUUUGAGAUUUCAAAAAACACUUUUUUUCCCAAAAAUUAAAAAAAAACAAUAUUUCAACC